UGCAUUCUUGUGCAUAUUAAGGGUUGAUUUAAAGUUCAAAACUAGUUUUACAUGUUUGUUUUUACAUGUUUGUUUUUUACAUUUUUUUCAUGUUUUACAUGUUUGUUUCAGGCUCUGCACUCAUGAUGACUCAGACCCAAUAGUGUGUCUUCCAGAAUGUUACAUAAAGAGUGGUAACACCCAUCUCAUCACUAUCUCCUUUCCUGGGAAUAGAGGGAUUGAUUUCAGUUGGUGAAGUUGGUACCUGGUCUUUGUGUUGAGAGGCUGAUUGAUGGCCAAAAGAAUCCGUUCUCUUCAACCCUGCCUUAAGGAAAAAUCAGCUACCACAAUAGGAAUAUAAAGCUUAUAAACCCAUGAGACAUGUGAUGGAAGAAAUAACACAGAGGCUGGAAGUGAAACUUUUAGAAGGUGGAAAGCACAUGAAAGAGUACAAAAGACCAGCAGAGUAUGAGAAAAGAAAUCUACCUGACUGAACAGGGAGAUAAUGAGAAAUACACCAACCUGCCCUGCCAAAUUUUGAAAAGGUUCAGAAUUUGGAGGCUCUAGAUAACAGAAGAAGGAGAUGAAACUUGGAAUGCAAAGCACAGUGCAUCAUGGGAGUGAGAAAGUACAAAGUCAUCUAAGAGUAUUAAAUCUCAGCUUUCAAGAGAAGGAAGGCACAGAUGAGAAAGUAUCUACUUACCAAAGCAUUCUCUGUGAGUAA
Molecule: long non-coding RNA, 703 nt
Filed under: Oryctolagus cuniculus (rabbit)
Lineage: Eukaryota; Metazoa; Chordata; Mammalia; Lagomorpha; Leporidae
Description: lncRNA (ENSOCUG00000039410.1)
Source: RNAcentral